GAUGAACGCUGGCGGCGUGCCUAAUACAUGCAAGUCGAGCGAACGGACGAGAAGCUUGCUUCUCUGAUGUUAGCGGCGGACGGGUGAGUAACACGUGGAUAACCUACCUAUAAGACUGGGAUAACUUCGGGAAACCGGAGCUAAUACCGGAUAAUAUUUUGAACCGCAUGGUUCAAAAGUGAAAGACGGUCUUGCUGUCACUUAUAGAUGGAUCCGCGCUGCAUUAGCUAGUUGGUAAGGUAACGGCUUACCAAGGCAACGAUGCAUAGCCGACCUGAGAGGGUGAUCGGCCACAUUGGAGCUGAGACACGGUCCAGACUCCUACGGGAGGCAGCAGUAGGGAAUCUUCCGCAAUGGGCGAAAGCCUGACGGAGCAACGCCGCGUGAGUGAUGAAGGUCUUCGGAUCGUAAAACUCUGUUAUUAGGGAAGAACAUAUGUGUAAGUAACUGUGCACAUCUUGACGGUACCUAAUCAGAAAGCCACGGCUAACUACGUG
Molecule: ribosomal RNA, 497 nt
Filed under: uncultured bacterium
Lineage: Bacteria
Description: partial 16S ribosomal RNA
Rfam family: Bacterial small subunit ribosomal RNA
Source: RNAcentral